GAUGAACGCUAGCGGCAGGCUUAACACAAGCAAGUCGAGGGGUAUAGUAGCAAUACUAGAGACCGGCAAACGGGUGCGGAACACGUACGCAACAUACCCGCUACAGGGGCAUAGCCCGAAGAAAUUCGGAUUAACACCCCAUAGUAUAGCUGAGAGGCACCUCUCUACUAUUAAAAAUUUAUUGGUAGCGGAUUGGCGUG
This 200-nucleotide ribosomal RNA is filed under the name uncultured bacterium. RNAcentral's name for it is "partial 16S ribosomal RNA". It matches the Rfam family "Bacterial small subunit ribosomal RNA", at positions 28 to 233 of the family's 1533-position model. The record is from RNAcentral.